AUUAAAUUACUUUAAAACAGGCCGUUCUCCUUGGGAGAAGGCCCGUAGGCAGCAGCCAUGGCGCCCAGCCGAAAUGGCAUGAUCCUAAAGCCCCACUUCCACAAGGACCGGCAGCGGCGCGUUGCCACGUGGUUUAACCAGUCCACAGACGCAAGGCCAGGCAAGCCAAAGCGCCGCAUCCCCCUCUGACCUAUCCGCAUCCCCCUCUGACCUAUCCGACCCAUAGUGAGAUGCCCCACCGCCAGGAACCACCAUUCAGCUUGGAAGGGUUAAGGACGGCUGGCAGCCACAAAAAGGUGGCCUGGACCACUGGGAUCUCGGUGGGUCCCUGCAGGCCAACGUGCAGCGGCUGACGGAGUACCGCUCCAAGCCCAUCCUCUUCCCCAGGAAGCCUUCGGCCCCCAAGAAGGGAGACAGUUCUGCUGAAGAACUCAAAUUGGCCACCCAGCUGAGCGGACCAGUCAUGCCCAUCCAGAAUGUCUACAAGAAGGAGAAAGCCAGGGUCAUCACAGAGGAGGAGGAGAACUUCAAGGCUUUUGUCAGUCUUCGCCUGGCCCAUGCCAAUGCCCGGCUCUUUGGCAUCAGGGCAAAAAGAGCCAAAGAAGCUGCAGAACAGGAUGUUGAAAAGAAAAAAUAAAGUACCGUUGGCAAC
This is an RNA transcript of Myotis brandtii (Brandt's bat), 652 nucleotides long. It is a transcript of the gene named 60S ribosomal protein L13 pseudogene, with no coding region annotated. The transcript has a single exon. The record is from RefSeq and is a predicted model, not a curated record. Lineage: Eukaryota; Metazoa; Chordata; Mammalia; Chiroptera; Vespertilionidae.